GGAGAGGUGCCUGAGUGGCCGAAAGGAACGGUUUGCUAAAUCGUCGUACCAGCAAUGGUACCCAGGGUUCGAAUCCCUGUCUCUCCGCAA
Molecule: transfer RNA, 90 nt
Filed under: Lacinutrix sp. Bg11-31
Lineage: Bacteria; Pseudomonadati; Bacteroidota; Flavobacteriia; Flavobacteriales; Flavobacteriaceae
Description: tRNA-Ser
Rfam family: tRNA
About the family: Transfer RNA (tRNA) molecules are approximately 80 nucleotides in length. Their secondary structure includes four short double-helical elements and three loops (D, anti-codon, and T loops).
Source: RNAcentral